GAUGAACGCUGGCGGCGUGCCUAAUACAUGCAAGUCGAGCGAACAGAUAAGGAGCUUGCUCCUUUGACGUUAGCGGCGGACGGGUGAGUAACACGUGGGAAACCUGCCCAGAAGUGGGGGAUAACACCUGGAAACAGAUGCUAAUACCGCAUAACAACUUAGACCGCAUGGUCCGAGUUUGAAAGAUGGCUUCGGCUAUCACUUUUGGAUGGUCCCGCGGCGUAUUAGCUAGAUGGUGAGGUAACGGCUCACCAUGGCAAUGAUACGUAG
This 270-nucleotide ribosomal RNA is filed under the name uncultured Lactobacillus sp. RNAcentral describes it as "partial 16S ribosomal RNA". It matches the Rfam family "Bacterial small subunit ribosomal RNA", at positions 28 to 286 of the family's 1533-position model. The record is from RNAcentral. Lineage: Bacteria; Bacillati; Bacillota; Bacilli; Lactobacillales; Lactobacillaceae.